UCUUUGCUGGUAUAUUGGUAGAACAUCACCCUGUCAUGCCGCACCAAAGCGGCGCGUAACGGUGAAGAGCAGGGUUCGAUUCCCUGGCAGAGAG
Tulasnella sp. 417 is the source of this 94-nucleotide non-coding RNA. The record is from the annotation of a GenBank genome assembly. NCBI's taxonomy places the organism in Eukaryota, Fungi, Basidiomycota, Agaricomycetes, Cantharellales, Tulasnellaceae.